RNAcentral lists this ribosomal RNA (466 nucleotides) under uncultured bacterium. Its description in RNAcentral is "partial 16S ribosomal RNA". It matches the Rfam family "Bacterial small subunit ribosomal RNA", at positions 28 to 507 of the family's 1533-position model. The record is from RNAcentral.
GAUGAACGCUGGCGGCGUGCUUAACACAUGCAAGUCGAACGGAAAGGCCCAAGCUUGCUUGGGUACUCGAUUGGCGAACGGGUGAGUAACACGUGGGUGAUCUGCCCUUCACUUCGGGAUAAGCCUGGGAAACUGGGUCUAAUACCGGAUAGGACCACAUUUUGGAUGGUGUGGUGGAAAGUUUGUCGGUGUGGGAUGAGCUCGCGGCCUAUCAGCUUGUUGGUGGGAUAAUGGGCUACCAAGGUGUCGACGGGUAGCCGGCCUCUGAGGGUGUACGGCCGCAUUGAGACUGAGGGGCGGCCCAGAUACCGAAGGGAGGGAGCAGGGGGGAAUAUUGAACAAUGGGCGCAAGCCUGGUGCAGCGACGCUGCGGGGGGGAUGACGGCCUUAGGGUUGUAAAAUACUUUCGCUAGUGACGAAGCGUUAUGUGACGGUACCUGGAGAAGAAGCACCGGCUAACUACGUG